RNAcentral lists this ribosomal RNA (554 nucleotides) under uncultured crenarchaeote. RNAcentral describes it as "bacterial SSU rRNA". It matches the Rfam family "Archaeal small subunit ribosomal RNA", at positions 325 to 879 of the family's 1478-position model. The record is from RNAcentral. Lineage: Archaea; Thermoproteati; Thermoproteota.
AUGGGGUGCAGCAGGCGAGAAAACUUUGCAAUGUGCGAAAGCACGACAAGGUUAAUCCGAGUGAUUUCUGCUAAAGAAAUCUUUUGCCAGUCAUAAAACCACUGGUGAAUAAGGGGUGGGCAAGUUCUGGUGUCAGCCGCCGCGGUAAAACCAGCACCUCAAGUGGUCAGGAUGAUUAUUGGGCCUAAAGCAUCCGUAGCCGGCUUUGUAAGUUUUCGGUUAAAUCCAUGUGCUCAACGCAUGGGCUGCCGAAAAUACUGCAUGGCUAGGGAGUGGGAGAGGUAGACGGUACUCAGUAGGAAGGGGUAAAAUCCUUUGAUCUAUUGAUGACCACCUGUGGCGAAGGCGGUCUACCAGAACACGUUCGACGGUGAGGGAUGAAAGCUGGGGGAGCAAACCGGAUUAGAUACCCGGGUAGUCCCAGCUGUAAACGAUGCAGACUCGAUGAUGCAUUGGCAUAAUAGCCAGUGCAGUGUCGCAGGGAAGCCGUUAAGUCUGCCGCCUGGGAAGUACGUACGCAAGUAUGAAACUUAAAGGAAUUGGCGGGGGAGCAC